GCUGUAUGAUUGGUUACUCAGGUAGACAAACGCGUCCUCUGCAGGAGCAACCUGACAUCAGAGGUACGGCAGUCUGAGCUGGCCAUGUAAUCCUGUUGUUGGCCGACAGGAAGCAGUCAGCCCUCAGCUUUCCCCAUCACAGAACCGUGUGCUUGUCGCGGUCGUAGUUAAUGUGGGGCGAAGUACUCACCAGGUGUGACGUCAGCGCACACUUCUCGGCCCACUUCAAAUCUCCAGCCGCCCGGUAUGUCUCAAACAUAUGCCGACGUCGCAUCGCAGCUUCAUCAAGACAAGUGGUAAUGAAUGAGGUGGAAAAUAUAUUAACCAUUUAUGAAGAGAAACUACAUUUCCGAUGUAUUCGUUUGUACAGUAGAGGAAGAGACCUUGCGUGUUCAGUGAAAUAAACUUUUGGUGAGCCACAUUUAAAGACAUUGUGAAAAGAUGCGUUUCGAGAAGCAAAUACCCAUUUUCCGCUUACGUAGAAGGUAGCUUAAACAUUAAUCUAACGUUUCGACGUUAAAAUGUACUAAAGUUUCUCAAGCCUUCAUAUCUUCAUGCACUACUGGCUGCCUCAUAGCGCCGCCCCCCCCCCCCCC
Schistocerca gregaria is the source of this 596-nucleotide long non-coding RNA. RefSeq lists it as uncharacterized. The transcript has 2 exons. The record is from RefSeq and is a predicted model, not a curated record. Lineage: Eukaryota; Metazoa; Arthropoda; Insecta; Orthoptera; Acrididae.